Harmonia axyridis is the source of this 703-nucleotide long non-coding RNA. RefSeq lists it as uncharacterized. The transcript has 2 exons. The record is from RefSeq and is a predicted model, not a curated record. Lineage: Eukaryota; Metazoa; Arthropoda; Insecta; Coleoptera; Coccinellidae.
GUUUUUUUUCUUUUUAUCAUUUUUAUUUUAAUAUUAUUUCUGCUUGGAGAAUGAAUGUACCGCUGAAGUGGAAUCGUCAGGUACACUUUCUAAUUGUUUUUGUCUUGUUCGCGAUUCUGGUAUUGAAUUGCCAGAAAUUGUGUUGGGGUGGUCAUUUCAAAUAAAUAUAUCAUUUCCCGCUCCUCAAGUAUAGGCAACCAAUAUAACAUCUUUUCUCGUCAAAUUGUCAAGUCGCAAAAACUUGUUUUGAAUCCCAUCUGUGAAAUAUAGAUACAUCAAUUGGAACUCAUUUUUCGGUAUUUCUCGAGUGUAGAGCAUCUCAGCUAAUCCGAAUAAAGAUUUUCUGUCUUCGACCAUUUGGGUUGGAUUAUUUGGAAAAUUGCAGAUAAUAUCAUAAUUUUGCUGAUUAUUUUGGAUAUUUAUAUCACGUUUUGGAAUCAAGCAGAAUUUCCGUCUUGUACGGGAUAAAAAUUCUACAUACUCUGAUAGAAAUUUCUAUAAAAGCCGCCCUCCAUCUUAGGCUUUCAAUUCUUUCAAUUCUUCUGAAUAUUUUACUGAUUCGAUAUAUAAGUGGAUCAACCUGAAUUAUUGGCGUGUUGGUUGAUGCAAAGACAUCCCUUGGACAUAGGCACCCCCAUUGCCUUAUACUGAGGGUUGGAAUAACUUCUAACCGGUUGGGAGCGAACCGAAUUCAACAUUUCCA